UUACACCCAAUUCCUAUUUCUUGUUAUCGGUGCCGUCCAUAACCAGCCGCCCCCCAUCCACGCAGGGGACUUUCUUUUUUAACCCGACUGGGCGGUGGAGCUCAUUCUUUUGUUUGUGGUGUCCCCGGCGUCACUUCAUACAGUAGGGCACCCUCAUCACAUGGUGUUUCAAGCGUUUUCAGCAAAUUCAAGCUAUUACACCACUAUACGAACUAAUCUACGAUGGAUGGCAAGAGGCUCAUCGAUUGCAUCUUUCUACGCUAUCCAAAUUUUUUCCGAGGUACUAGACGGAACAAGAACGCUGCCAUACUGAUUGGCGGUACGCGAGUUGGUCUAUCGUCCCCGCUGUUCAACGUGGUCAACCUGUUGCGUGUAAGCGAACCACUCGUGAUAGCCUUCAAGUAUCCGAGACCGACUCUGCCCGCCUACAUGACGCCUAUAGAGCCUCAAGUAGGGAAGUUCGACAACUCGCCUGGCGCCCUGGGUUCAGGUGCCGGUGCAGUGCGAACGGUGCCCAUCGCAGCGUUGGGUGCAAACCUAAACACGUGG
RNAcentral lists this ribosomal RNA (549 nucleotides) under uncultured Nitrososphaerota archaeon. Its description in RNAcentral is "uncultured thaumarchaeote partial 16S ribosomal RNA". Lineage: Archaea; Thermoproteati; Nitrososphaerota. The record is from RNAcentral.